CACGUAGGGUGCGAGCGUUGUCCGGAAUUAUUGGGCGUAAAGAGCUCGUAGGCGGUGUGUCGCGUCGGCCGUGAAAACCUGCAGCUUAACUGUGGGCGUGCGGUCGAUACGGGCAUCACUGGAGUUCGGCAGGGGAGACUGGAAUUCCUGGUGUAGCGGUGAAAUGCGCAGAUAUCAGGAGGAACACCAGCGGCGAAGGCGCCACUCUGGGCCGAAACUGACGCUGAGGAGCGAAAGCGUGGGUAGCAAACAGG
Molecule: ribosomal RNA, 254 nt
Filed under: uncultured bacterium
Lineage: Bacteria
Description: partial 16S ribosomal RNA
Rfam family: Bacterial small subunit ribosomal RNA
Source: RNAcentral